UCCUGGUGGCUCAGAUGGUAAAGAGUCUGCCUGCCAUGCAGGAGACCUGGGUUCGAUCCCUGGAUCGGGAA
RNAcentral lists this transfer RNA (71 nucleotides) under Ovis aries (sheep). It matches the Rfam family "tRNA". Rfam says of the family: Transfer RNA (tRNA) molecules are approximately 80 nucleotides in length. Their secondary structure includes four short double-helical elements and three loops (D, anti-codon, and T loops). Further hydrogen bonds mediate the characteristic L-shaped molecular structure. tRNAs have two regions of fundamental functional importance: the anti-codon, which is responsible for specific mRNA codon recognition, and the 3' end, to which the tRNAs corresponding amino acid is attached (by aminoacyl-tRNA synthetases). tRNAs cope with the degeneracy of the genetic code in two manners: having more than one tRNA (with a specific anti-codon) for a particular amino acid; and 'wobble' base-pairing, i.e. permitting non-standard base-pairing at the 3rd anti-codon position. Lineage: Eukaryota; Metazoa; Chordata; Mammalia; Artiodactyla; Bovidae. The record is from Rfam by way of RNAcentral.